UGGAAACCAGAUGGAGGAGAAUGACAGAGAAGGCAGCAGUCUCAGGAUGUAUCCCUUUUCCUCUGGGAAACUCCCUCCCGACCACCAAUACAAGAAGGGUGAUGCAAGACUCCUGCUGCUCCUACACUGAGCUGAUUAUUCUGCUUUUAAUCAUCUUGCGACCACUUGGGAGAUCCCGACCUCGACCCCUAGGUUGGGAACUACUGCCUUAACCUACAAUGUGGCAUCAAAUUUCUAUUUAUAGGGAUGUCAAAUUCAAUCAUGUGCAAAUGUCAAGGAUCAAACUAAAACAAUAUGGUGUCAAAUCUAAAUGAAUAUGUUGCAUUUAAUUGUUUAAGUCUUUAGGAUUUGUUGAAUGCAUAAUAAUGUCAUGCAGCUUUAGUGGCUCUUAGAAAAACAAGCAAAUCUUUGUGGCCAGUGACAAGUCGAGCUGAUCUUUUGUUUGUCUGAAAAACAAAACCUCUGUGCUGAGCUGCAGCACGCUGACACAGUGCCUUGGUGUCUAUUGUCACGGCAGCACGACAAGCCAGAGGGCAUUUGGAGCAUCAAUACGUCAACGUCGCUGUCAUCGAAUGAAAAACUUCAAAUCUGCUUCAACGUCCCUGGAAAUGCAUAAACAGGUUAUUUUCUAGUUAAUAAACAAAUGUUAACUUUAACAUUCUAAACAAAAGCUUUAGAAACUUGCUUCUAAAAAACAUUCUUGGGUUUCACAGCCUCCUGCAGGAAUGAAAAGUAAAACCUUGCAGUGGUCGGAGCAGUGUGGGCUCAUUGUUGAAGCAAAGUGAAUUAGUUGCUUGGAUAGCUUGAUCCUCCAGAGAAUUUAUCGGGAAGGUCAAAUUACAUUUGUUUGAUAGUUGUUCAAGCAAGACCGGAGCACUUAAUAAAGACACCCUGGUUCUGCUUGCCUGAAUAAAUUAUGCACAGUUCAAAGCUUCCAUCUGCUUCGAUAUAAUUACAUCUCAGAGCCAGACCGCUGCAGAGAGGCGAGUGAUUACCUUCUGAUUUCUUCACUCACAUGUCCCACACCACCAUAAUGCAAACAGCAUGCCUAAAUUGAGUUGUUUUCAAAAAAUAAAAUUAAUUAUGAUGUUUAAAAUCCUCUUUCCGCUGUUGGUGUGAUUUGGAAAACAAACUAAGGACGAGAAGAGAAGGUAGAUAAAGACCCUUUUUAUUCAGUAAAAGCUGAGGGAAGAAAUAAAUCUUGUUCAAACUUGCAUGAAUGUGAACUGCUGUUUGUUUGUUAGCGAUUACACCACAAACGUGUGCACAUACGAUAUACCUGCAAAUAUUGUUUCUUUUCAGACAUCGGCUGAGUGAAAACACGGUCAUGGUCUCUGUUGACCCAGAUUCAUCUUUAUCCACCUGAAAAAGGUCUCUUGUUCUCCUGAUUACUGCCCCGCUUCCCCUGACUGAUGGUUAUUUAGAGAAGGCACUGCAUUUGUGUAAUGACAUUACUUCAAACCGUAAAAACCAGAUGUCAUGAGGAGAUAAAACACAAAGUUUCAACAUUGUUAGUGUUCUGUGGAUGUAUUUGAACACAUCUGAUACUUUACUUUUAUGGGAAAUGAGCUUUCUGUCACAGUAGUGUCAACAGUUAGGCAACCAUAUUCCAAUUACAUGUCACUGCACUUCUUUGUGAGUUCAGCAGGGUUUGUGUCAACACGUCUGUUAAGGUUACUAUUGAUUCCAUCUCUGAGAGAAACUUCUUGUUUUCUCUGAACAGAGCAGUAGACGAGCCAGCUAGUCUAUAAUGUAUCACAGAGAUUGCAUGUCAACACAUUUUUGCUGCUUCUUAACACAUCUGUGCAUGUCCCAGACUGGACAGAGGGACAUUGUUAGGAGCAAGCUGAACUGUAAAUAGACAUGUGACCUGAUCUUCGUUCAGUGUAGUUUUAUGAUUAAGUUGUUGUCCACUGAAAUUCUGACAUUUUUCAACACAUUAUUUCACUUCAAACAAUAAUAAUGCACACUGGACUUUAUGUUCAGACAUAGAGAACUACAAUAGUGGGACCAAAGUGAAAAAAAUCUUUGAUCUGUAACCUGAAUUGUUGUUCUGUUGCAUUCCCCAAAUGUCUACGCAAUUUCUCAGUGCAGUAGUGACUGUUUAUCUCGGAGCAACUGAAUGCAGCCGCGACAGUUUCUGAUGGAUGGUUGGUUCCUUAGGUCACAACAUGCCAGCGCUUCAGGAGAUGGACAAAAAAGCACAAUCAUCUGGAAGUGUUUUCUGCAAUGGGGUCAAUCCACUGAGGUUUCUCAGGCAGCCUCUUACCCACAGUCACCUUCACUCACACACACACACAGGCAUAAACAGACUCCAAUACAAGACAACUGGAGGGACGCUGGCUUGUUAAAAGAGCUACCAAAGAUCCUCUAUAUUCUCAAGCACGUACAGCCAUGAUGCAAUCUGUGAAAAAAACCUUGGUUUAGUCAGCCUUACUCUGUAAGUAUAAUGUGAAUGUUCACAGGACAAACACUCAUUGCCAGACACACACACAAGAUCUGUAAGCUGCCAUGACUGAAACCCCGGCUCUCUCCCCCUCUUUCUCCUUUCUCUACCCGUCUCCUUCCCAGUCACGUCCUUGGCAGGUUACCAUCCGAGUGUAGGUAUUCAGCCAAACCCUGGCAUGUCUGCCCACUUUAGUGUUUUUAUGGACCAUUCAAGACCACAAGUGUGUUUAUGUGUCUGUGUAUUCAGACACUUUCAAGUAAAUAAAGCAAAAAAGCUCAAUGCACAACAUGUUACUGAGUUGUAAAAAGUGAAGAAACUGCUGUGAGGGUAAACCACUGAGAUCUAAGCUUUCCUCUUGUCCUGUAGAGACACACCCUGUUGAGUCAGUCCUGUGCAUAGAAACAAAUCACACACUGCUUUGAAAAACAGGAUCUCACACAAAAUGUUAAAUACAGUGUCGACACUGACACAAUCUUUCCCUCUCUUUCGUUUGUGGUUUUGUUUUUAAUGUCUGUUUAUGCUCCAUCACUGAUACACCCAUUUUUACGUCAUACAGAAAACGAAUAAAAGCAAAACUAAAACUGUGAGAAUAGUCAAUUUAUUACACAUAGGAUUCAUAUAUAUAAAGUUAUAUACAAUAUAGUUACAUACAUACAAAUAUAAACUUCUACACCAAGACUGGGCUCAUCUGACUUUCAAUUAACCAACUGAAAAGGUGGAUUUCCUUUAAAACCAAAACACUUAAGGCCCCAAGCCUUUACAGAUUGAUGACAUUCAAAAACCCUAAUAUGCAGUCUUGAGGCUGAUCGUCUUCUUAGGC
Siniperca chuatsi (mandarin fish) is the source of this 3269-nucleotide long non-coding RNA. RefSeq lists it as uncharacterized. Lineage: Eukaryota; Metazoa; Chordata; Actinopteri; Centrarchiformes; Sinipercidae. The record is from RefSeq and is a predicted model, not a curated record. The transcript is spliced from 2 exons.